UGAUCCUGGCUCAGGAUGAACGCUGCGGCGUGCUUUAACACAUGCAAGUCGAACGAUGAAGCCCAGCUUGCUGGGUGGAUUAGUGGCGAACGGGUGAGUAACACGUGAGUAACCUGCCCCCGACUCUGGGAUAAGCCCGGGAAACUGGGUCUAAUACCGGAUAUGACCUCGCACCGCAUGGUGCGGGGUGGAAAGAUUUAUCGGUGGGGGAUGGACUCGCGGCCUAUCAGCUUGUUGGUGAGGUAAUGGCUCACCAAGGCGACGACGGGUAGCCGGCCUGAGAGGGUGACCGGCCACACUGGGACUGAGACACGGCCCAGACUCCUACGGGAGGCAGCAGUGGGGAAUAUUGCACAAUGGGCGAAAGCCUGAUGCAGCGACGCCGCGUGAGGGAUGACGGCCUUCGGGUUGUAAACCUCUUUCAGUAGGGAAGAAGCGAAAGUGACGGUACCUGGAGAAGAAGCGCCGGCUAACUACGUGC
This 481-nucleotide ribosomal RNA is filed under the name Arthrobacter globiformis. RNAcentral's name for it is "bacterial SSU rRNA". It matches the Rfam family "Bacterial small subunit ribosomal RNA", at positions 14 to 508 of the family's 1533-position model. The record is from RNAcentral. Lineage: Bacteria; Bacillati; Actinomycetota; Actinomycetes; Micrococcales; Micrococcaceae.